This is a long non-coding RNA of Oncorhynchus tshawytscha (Chinook salmon), 351 nucleotides long. The record is from Ensembl. Lineage: Eukaryota; Metazoa; Chordata; Actinopteri; Salmoniformes; Salmonidae.
GGAGGGAAGGAGAGGUGGAGAGAAGGAAAGGUGGAGAGGUGCUGGGAAGGAGAGGUGGAGGGAAGGAGAGGUGGAGAGUUGGAGAGAAGGAGGGGUGGAGGGAAGGAGAGGUGGAGAGAAGGAGAGAUGGAGGGAAGGAGAGAAGGAGAGGUGGAGGGAAGGAGAGGUGGAGAGAAUGAGAGGUGUAGGGAAGGAGAGGUGGAGAGGUAGAGAGCUGGACAGGUGGAGAGGUGGAGAGAAGGAGAGGGGUGGAGAGGUGGAGAGGUGGAGGGAAGGAGAGGUGGAGAGAAUGAGAGGUGUAGGGAAGGAGAGGUGGAGAGGUAGAGAGCUGGACAGGUGGAGAGGUGGAGA